UGUUGCCACGGAGAUGACCUCUGACCCCGAAAGCAUGAGUGGCCCCUUUGCGGGUUGCCUUGGUUGCUAUGGCAACUGCAGUAUCCAGGAUCUUGGCGCUGGAGCAACUUGGGAGCAAGGGCUAGGGAACAGCUACUCUGCCCUCUUCUUUCUAGGAUGGGAACAUGGUUGUUCUGUGGAGCCCAGACUGCCCUAUCGAAGAUCCAAGGAAAUAAGUAACAAGUCAAAAACUUUGACAGAUUUGUAA
RNAcentral lists this long non-coding RNA (247 nucleotides) under Mus spicilegus (steppe mouse). RNAcentral's name for it is "lncRNA (ENSMSIG00000025278.1)". The record is from RNAcentral. Lineage: Eukaryota; Metazoa; Chordata; Mammalia; Rodentia; Muridae.